RNAcentral lists this ribosomal RNA (489 nucleotides) under uncultured Syntrophorhabdus sp. RNAcentral's name for it is "bacterial SSU rRNA". It matches the Rfam family "Bacterial small subunit ribosomal RNA", at positions 897 to 1382 of the family's 1533-position model. Lineage: Bacteria; Pseudomonadati; Thermodesulfobacteriota; Syntrophorhabdia; Syntrophorhabdales; Syntrophorhabdaceae. The record is from RNAcentral.
AAACUUAAAGGAAUUGACGGGGGCCCGCACAAGCGGUGGAGCAUGUGGUUUAAUUCGACGCAACGCGAAGAACCUUACCUGGGUUUUGACAUGCCGAGUACCCGAUGGAAACAUUGGGGUGCCCCGUAAGGGGAACUUGGACACAGGUGCUGCAUGGCUGUCGUCAGCUCGUGCCGUGAGGUGUUGGGUUAAGUCCCGCAACGAGCGCAACCCUCACCCUUAGUUGCCAUCAUUAAGUUGGGCACCCUAAGGGAACUGCCGCAGUUAAUGCGGAGGAAGGUGGGGAUGACGUCAAGUCCUCAUGGCCCUUAUAUCCAGGGCUACACACGUGCUACAAUGGGCGGUACAAAGGGUCGCGAACCUGUAAGGGGGAGCUAACCCCAGAAAACCGUUCUCAGUUCGGAUUGGAGUCUGCAACCCGACUCCAUGAAGUUGGAAUCGCUAGUAAUCGUGGAUCAGCACGCCACGGUGAAUACGUUCCCGGGCCUU